AUAGUGUCCAGGUGCUAACCUAUUUUUGCCCUGGAACUCCGGCUUGGCCGCGCUUAGCCUGUUGUCCCGGUCCUCUGUACCUUAAUUUUCCUUGCCUUCCCAACUACCCAGGAAGACGCUUUUUUAAAUGAGAAGUGACUAAGAAGACUAACAAUCGAUCCAUAUAACUACCAGGGAGCUCCCCUGCCACAAAAAGAUAUAGGCCCCAGUAGUUCACAGAGGAAU
Pelobates cultripes (western spadefoot toad) is the source of this 225-nucleotide non-coding RNA. The record is from the annotation of a GenBank genome assembly. Lineage: Eukaryota; Metazoa; Chordata; Amphibia; Anura; Pelobatidae.